ACCUAAAUAGUUUAUUUAAAAUAUUAAUUUGUGGAAUUAAGGAAGCAGGCUAUGUUUUAGGUA
RNAcentral lists this transfer RNA (63 nucleotides) under Cryptocephalus moraei. RNAcentral's name for it is "tRNA-His". Lineage: Eukaryota; Metazoa; Arthropoda; Insecta; Coleoptera; Chrysomelidae. The record is from RNAcentral.